Molecule: small nucleolar RNA, 213 nt
Organism: Alligator mississippiensis (American alligator)
Lineage: Eukaryota; Metazoa; Chordata; Crocodylia; Alligatoridae
Product: small nucleolar RNA U3
Exons: 1
Source: RefSeq, a predicted model, not a curated record
AGAACUGUGUUUUCAGGGAUUGUUUCUGUAGUUGGUGAUUAGAGGAGUGUGUCCAUGAAUGGUUGAUCUUGCUAGCCACAAUGAUGAGUUAUAGUAUUUUUUCCUGAGCAUAGGGUAAGUGAGUAGUGCUGUCUGCGUACAGUUGCUGUUUGCUCUGGAUGACUGCUUUUUUUCCUUUAGGAAGCUAGAGGGUGAAGGUGCAGACUGAGUGGU